Capsicum annuum is the source of this 105-nucleotide non-coding RNA. The record is from Rfam. Lineage: Eukaryota; Viridiplantae; Streptophyta; Magnoliopsida; Solanales; Solanaceae.
UUCUCUCUUUGGGGAUAUCCGAUAAAAUUGGAACGAUACAGAGAAGAUUAGCAUGGCCCCUGCGCAAGGAUGACAUGCACAAAUCGAGAAAUGGUCCAAAUUUUU